Molecule: long non-coding RNA, 240 nt
Organism: Bubalus bubalis (water buffalo)
Lineage: Eukaryota; Metazoa; Chordata; Mammalia; Artiodactyla; Bovidae
Exons: 2
Source: RefSeq, a predicted model, not a curated record
AGUCCAUGGGGUCACAUAGAGUCAGACACGACUUAGCAACUGAACAAGGACAAACAACUUUAGAUCUGUCCUGAAAAUGCAGUUCAAAUCCUGUAGCAGUUACCCCAGAAAAUAAUUCUACGGAAUGAUCACCUUGUGAUGCCACUGAAUGAGGGUCACUCAGGUAUAUAACACAUUCAAUUUGCUAAAAUCAACCUAAAUACAUGCUGUGAAUUAAAAUGUGAUGUAUGUUGUAAUGGU